This is a long non-coding RNA of Triticum dicoccoides, 198 nucleotides long. RefSeq lists it as uncharacterized. Lineage: Eukaryota; Viridiplantae; Streptophyta; Magnoliopsida; Poales; Poaceae. The record is from RefSeq and is a predicted model, not a curated record. The transcript has 2 exons.
GAGGAGGACUAGGAGGAGCAGGAGGAGGGGAGGCCUGCUGGGCGCGCGCAGGAGGCUCCCCGCCGGUCCCCGAAGCCUAAACUGCAAGAUUUGCUUCAGAUCAUGGAAGCUUGGGUUGAUGGAGUACUUGUCUUUAGUUUUUGUUUUGACUUUGUGAAACUUGCUACCUAUGAUGAAACUGUGUAAUAUUGAUGAAAC